Molecule: unclassified non-coding RNA, 7223 nt
Filed under: Hevea brasiliensis (rubber tree)
Lineage: Eukaryota; Viridiplantae; Streptophyta; Magnoliopsida; Malpighiales; Euphorbiaceae
Source: RNAcentral
AAUAAUAAUAAUAAUAAUAAUAAGUGUAACCAUCAGCCUCUGAAAUUCUCAACAAAGAUAUAUAGAACAUUCAUAACACAAUUAUUUGGCAGAUCGAACUGUUCCUGGCUUAGGCCCCGUAUCGUGCAGACACAUCUUUAACCCCAGCACAUAUAGCACCAGUGCAGAACAACUGGGUAGCGCUCACUAUUAUCGUCACAACUUCAAGAGUGCGCAAGUUUGAAUCUGUCCAGCCUAUGUUAAUCUCUUUACAUGCCAAUCCCAUGGCUAGUAGAGUGAGUGACAAGGUUGUCACAGAGGAAGCAGCAGCCGCAUGUAAGUUUGAAACGUUCCAUUGAACAAUAUUAUGGAGUCCUGUAAGGGAGGUACCGAUGCCAACUACGGCAGAAAGGAGGGAGAAAAUGAUGAAGAAACCUGUUGCCAUGUUUCCCAUUGGGAAGUAUAUUGGAAAUAUGCGAGCAGGAAUUGAUAAAACAGACGCCGUUUCCCGAGAUCUUUUAAUCCCAUGAUUUACAGCCCAUGAAGCAAUUACUAUCAUAAUGAAGUAAAGGGCAAUAUUGACGAUUAAGAGCAAGAAGGCUGCCGAUUUAGAUGCUCCUGAAGCCAUGGCUAUUUAGCAGAUUGGAGGCAAAAGGACAAAAUAACUUGUUCUGUGUCACCCUUGCGUAUCUUGGAGAAGAACUAUAUAUAUGCAAUACAAGGAGUUCUUUUCCAGACUAAAAGUAUAAAAGUGGUCUUUUUAUGCAUAAUUUUUGUUAUUUUCAUUAUAAAAAUGGAUUUCUGGACUUUCUUAAUUUCCAAGAAAUGUCUUAAAUUCCUGACUUGCCUUACUGAAGAGGAAGGAAUCAAACCAAGCCUUGAAUUUGGGUCUCUGGGUUACUUUUUUCUGGAAUAUUUUAGGCUCUGCAGACAGUGAAGGAAUAAAGUUUGCUUGUAAUCCUUUGUAAGCUCUAAAAAGCUCUAAAAUAAUUUUUCAGGCAUUAAUUAAUUGUGUGCAGUUUUCCCUUCUCUUUGCGACACACAAGCUUUUUUGGGAUGUUGGACAGAUACAUGUAAAUGAGAAAAUUCUGGACGUAAGCAUAGACCCGGUCAAGGGCCAGUCCAGAAUCGAAAACAGGCUAGAGUGGGAUCAAUUCAUUCGAAAUUGGAACCAUAACAGAAUUAUCAAAAUCAGUUUAAAAUCGAAUCAAAUUCAGAAUUGAACCAAACUAAAAUCCAAAUUGAAGACCUUGCAUUUCGGUUUGAGUCUCCCCCAAGCCGCCCAAAACCGGCCCUUUCGCCAGGUCUACGUAAUCAUGUGUCCAAUUGCCAGAGUUCCUUCUGUGUACCAUAUUUACUGACUGAAAAAAUGAGAACAAAGAAAGUAAAUGGUGAAGAGGAAUGAUAAAAGGAUGCCUAAUAAAGCCACCACCACAGAUCAGUGACUAAUAAUCAACAGACCAACUAAUAUUCAGAGAACCGUGAGCCUUUGAAGACCAUUCUAAGUACCAAGUGAAACAGUGAGGUUGGUGUCUUAUUGGCUAGCCACUCCAAGACUCAAGUUAGAGAUGUUGAUUGAGAGUGAGAGAAUAAGUAAUUAAAAGUUCAGUAAUCAAUUUGGCAUAGUAAACAUAUCUGACUAAUGUUAUUUUUGUUAGACUAUAUGCCAAGUAGUCAUUGUAGCUAUCUGCUCGGUUCGUCUGAUGAGCAUCUACACUUAUUGUUAUCUUGUUCAUGUUUGUUCAACUAUACCUUUCUGAGCAAUCUUUUGCUCGGCCUAAAACACGUCUUCUUUUACUCGGUUUGGUUAGCCUGGAUUUCAUUUGCUCAGUAUGGAUGGUCCUAACCAUGUGAUGGUCAAUCUGGCUCCUCACUGAGUACUGACACUUUGACUAGCAUAUUGGAUUCUUACACCGAGCACUAACUUUUUGACUCGAUUUUGGGCGGGUAGUAUCACAAGCCAAAAUACAUGACUCAACCGAAACUUAAAUCUCAUCAUUUACAGUCUAUGCAGUGAUUACCUUUACACACUGAAAUAUGGUUGAUAUUGAGACACUGAGCAUCAAGGACAUGAAAAGGUAAAGCCAUGACCUUUGUAGCUCAGAAACAGGACAUCAUAAAUUUAAUUUGGUGACUCUAGUAUGUAAUUAUUUUUUGAACUGUAAAAACAGUACCAAAGAAGGUGGUCCUGGGGCUUGUUACAGCAGCACUCCAAUUUCUAAUUUUCUUGUCUUUUUCUGCCUCUUUCAAUGACAAGAAAGUAAAAAAAAAACAACUACUGUUACGUCUAAUAUCAUCAUUCGUUUCAACUCUAGGCACUUCAACUAUAAAGGCUAAUCAAACAAAUCCAGAACAUCAAUGUGAUAUCACCAAAUUAAAAUGUGCAGACAUUGUCAAAAAGCGGGAGAAAAAGACCAGGAUGUCAAUGGUUCAAACAUCAACCAAUUGCUCAUAAGUGGAAACUAAUAGUGAAGAGACUCUCAUCCAUUUGUAUCUUCCAUCUGCGUGCCCAUUUUACAAGCUUGGGCAUAAACUGUCUACUGACAUCGGGACCUUUAUUUACGAAGAUCUUUCCUAAUGACUGAUAACUGAGAAGAGAAAACUUUCCCUGAGGACAGGCCAACUAAAUUCAAGCCAUUACUGCCUACGUCCGUCAGGUUGUCUUCAACCAAAUAACAUUAAACUUUCAAGGCCAACUUCUGAGCAGCAAGAGCUUCAGCCUCGAGGGUUGGUUCCCACAAAAUUGUAGUUUCUGCCAGUAGUGAGGUCACCACAUAAGGGUCCAUGUUUGAAGCUGGACGCCGAUCUUCCAAGUAACCUUUGCCCUUCUUCUCAGUAUCACGCCCCACCCGGAUUGAGCAACCACGAUUAGCCACUCCCCAAGAAAAUGUGUUGAUGUUGGCUGUUUCAUGUUUUCCAGUCAACCUUCUCUCAUUUCCUUCACCAUAAGCAUUAAUGUGUUCAUUAUGGCGAAGUGACAGAUUCAAGAUUGCUUUCUUUAUCACUUCAUAGCCACCGUCCUCCCUCAUCCUCUUUGUGCUGUCGAAAAAAAAAACAAAAGAGUAUAGUCAACAUUAUCAUUGUAAAACUCAUUAUUAUUGUAAAACUUAGGUAGAUUUUCAUAUGAGAGAGUUCAUAUUAAAGGACUAGUAAUAUCAUAUUGCCUGUAAUUAGUGUGACAUCCUGCACCAUUCCAAUCACCCUGUUGGCGCAAAGAAGGGAGAGUUUUACAUAAUCUCACAUUAAAAAAUAUUUUGUUUCAAGAAGGCAAAAAAAACCAUAUGAUGAUUUACAUUACCUCAAUUGGUUUUGGAUCAAGUGAAAGAACAACACCAGCUUGUUCAGUGAUUCUCUGUGAGAAAGAGGACAAACAAAACAUCAAUAGUUUAAUGUUAAACCAAUUUUGCGUAAAAUAAAAUUGAAUUUCUCCUAUUUCCAGUUUGGGGUUUUUCAAAAAUUGAUGGCCAUCUUAUCAAAGGCAGAACCAGAAAACUUGAAAUGCAGCAAGAAACUAUUGUGAGAAAUGCAAUAAGUUGCACAUGAUUGACUCCAAAACAAUUCGAUUAGGAACUAUUCAGAAAGAAAAAAAGCAGUGAAACCUAUCACUAGGACUGCUGAUAAGGUUAUGAAUGGCCAAUAAAUGGGCUUAGCAACCCUAAAUCUUCCUGAUGAUGUAAACCUAACGGCCUAACCUGCAUGAAAUGGUGGAAAAAUGUUCAUACAACCAAUCCCUACUAGUUUGGUAUUGAGGAUUACUCGAGUUGACUUGUAGGAACAUGCUUUUUCCAGCAAUUGUUUUGUUCUUACAGAGUUCAUUUCUUUCCUUUGUCAUAAUCUAUUGAAAUAACCACGACAGAUAAAUUACCUCAAGAAUGUAUCUUGAACACCAUAUAUGAUCUGCAGCAUCAAUUCCCACACUGGGUCCCACCUGAUACUCCCACUGGCCAGGCAUAACCUCUCCAUUGGUGCCACUAAUGUUAAUUCCAGCAUAUAAACAGGCCUUGUAAUGAGCAUCUGAUAUGUCUCGACCAAAAGAUUUAUCAGCCCCAGCUCCACAGUAAUAAGGACCCUGAGGACCAGGAUAGCCUCCAACAGGCCAGCCCAAAGGCCACUUCACAUUUGUUUGAAGUAAGGUGUACUCUUGCUCAAUCCCAAACCAUGGAACUUCAACUGCAACCUUCUUGUUACUGAAAAUCUCAGCAGCACGGUGGCGUUUGUUCGUAGGGAUGGGUUCACCUGCUGGCGUGUAUGAAUCACAGAUUACCAAGAUAUUGUUACCUCCACGGAAUGGAUCCUUAAAAAUUGCCUGAGGGUAUAGAAUAACUUCACUAUCCUCUCCUGGUGCUUGUCCAGUACUUGAACCAUCAUAAUUCCACUUGGGAAGCUCUGAUGGAUGUUCUACAGGCUUUGCGAUUGUCUUUGGCUUGCUUCGCAGAUCAAUACCAGAUCCUCCGAUCCAAAUAUACUCAGCAAUGAUCUUGUCAGUGUACGGGGUAAUGUCCAAAUUUAGAAGAUUCUCUAGCCUAUUGACAGUGCUAUUCUCAGACUGCGCAGCAAACACUCUAAAUCUGGCAGUGUUUUUAGCUGUUGCUUUCUUGUUCUGCUUUAACAGUAGAGAACUCCACACCUUUGCUGUCAUGGGACUUGCAAGUGCAGAGUUCUUUGGUAUUCUCAUCUGCCAUUGGGAAGAGGGUGCCAAGAUUUGUGCCAUUUUCACCAACUUCUUGCUGGAAAAUUAGAACUAGCAUAAACAAGAACUUAACAACUGAAAAAUUCAGAACAAAGCAGACUAAUGUUUAAUUUGAGACAGAUAAAUCAAAGCUGGGAAAUUUUAUUAGCACAAUCCAAAAGAUCAAGGUGGAUCAACCACAAAACUCACCGAGAAGUAAACCAACCAACUUUAUAUCCGCUUUUCUUUUUUCCUUUCUUUUGUGUGUGUGUGUGUGUGUGUAUACACACAUAAAGUAAAAACUUGAAGAAAAUAACUCACAUCCAUCAAAUCUGUAUAUAGCGUGUAGUUAGCUGAAAAGUAGCAAAAUUGGAAGCCAUACUUCAUUUUCUCUUGCAGUGCUAAACUGGGAAAUUAUUUUGAAGGCAGACACACCCAUAAAGAAAGCCAUAAACAGGGGGAAAAAAGUUUGUGGGGAGGGAGAGAGAUGAGAGUGAGGUCAUGGCAACCUCUUUGUCAUAAAGAGGCUAAAGCCUAAAUGUAACAUCUUAAUUUUGAAUGUUAGAAGUUAUUCCAUUAUGCGACAGCAAACUCACCUGCUCUCGAUCUUCUAAGACUCAAGGAUUCAGGAGAGAGAAUACAUAUUUUCUCUUUGCUUUUCCCAGCAAGAGGACUUGCCUAUAUUAUCAAAUUUAAAGGAAAACACAUAAAGAUGGAACACAAGGAAAUAUAUACAAAAAUAAGUAGUGGCAGCUGGCAGGCCAAGUACAUGCAAAGCAAAAAUGCAAAUAGGGAAAAGAGAUCAUGAGAAAACCUAUUAAAAUAUAGCCAGUAAUUGGUGACUUAUUUACCAAAAAAGUAUGAAUGCUGAAUAGCAAGCUAAAAGGAGAGAAAGUAAGAUUUGAUUCAUAUUAAAAAAAAUGUUGAAGGGAAAAAAGAACCUGAAAUUAAUUGAUGACAGAAUUUCCUCAGAUAUGACUGGAAACCAGAUGCUAACAGUGCCUAUGUGUCUAGCAUUUGCAUUUGACAACAUUUUGAGUCAAAGAGAUCAUAAUCUUAAAAGGACUUGGUCAUGAGAUGACCAAGCAGCUUUAUUGAGGAAGUUAUAGUUUCUGCUCAUCAUGUUAAAAGUAAGAACUGUUAUUUAUACUCAUUUUAUAUGUUUAGAAAUAAAUAGAAUUUCAAGUAACGUUUUUUCUCAUAAAUUGCAUGACAACAAGCAAAACGUGAAUAACAAAAUCUCAGACAAAAAAUGGGGAUUACAAAUGAAAUGUAGGUGUAGGCUCAAACAAGAAACACAGUGGCUUAUGCAUGAUCCUUAGUUACCCUGUUGAAGAAAUAAUCCAAGCACCCCAAGUAAAACUCCAAUGUCAAUGUCCAACUAUAAUAGCAAAGCCAGUUUAUUUUCAGCAAACUCAUUAUAUCUUCUAUUUCUUAAAAACUAUGAUCCAUUCCCCCAAGCCAAAAUUUAAACACAAUAGUGAACUAAUGUAGUGAUUAAGGCCCCAACACAUACAAGAGCGUGCAGAAAAAGCAUGAGUAAAGAAACAAUAAAAUAAAAUAAAACAAAAGAAGAAAGUACAGGUACGGUAGUACAAAAAUAUGCAAAAGAUGCAUUCACCUGGACAACCAAAAUAUAGACCCAAGUAGAAGUUACAAAAAUGCAAGUACAUUAUAAUCACUUGUCACUAAAGAGUAAAGACGCUUUGCUAAAGCAACAAAACCAGAUGCCACAUAAGCAUGGAGCUAUUGAACAUAAGGAAAGCAAGCAACAUACAGAAGAUUUGGAAGAGUUUACUUGUUCAUCAAAACUAAUCUUCCUUCUAGCUUUCUUCAUGGAUGAACUUCCUUUAUCAACCGAUAUUUGUUCAAUCUUCUCUUUGCUUUUCAAAUUCCCCGACAAAUUUCUCAAGAUUCUUGCAGCAUUUAGCAUUUUCUCUGAUACGUUCACUUCUGCCUUGAUAUUUAAUUCAUUUUCACUAGUGUCCUUGUUUUUAUAUGGAGAUGGAAUUGGCCUAAAAUCUUCUGAGCCUUGAUCGGUGGACUCAUCAAAAUCAGAGGCAUUCUGAAAAUCAAAGUCAGAACUAACAGCUUGUUUGAAGCAAUUCUCAGCGUAUUCCUCCCAAUAAGGUGGGAAACCAAACAAGAAAUGACUGAAAACCUCAGAAGGGAACCCAUUUUCAAUUGUGCGUGUCUUGUUAAUGAAGCCUUGGAAAACAACAAUAAUACCAUCAGCUGUCUCAAGAGUGAAAACAUCGUAUCUUUUGGUAAUGGGUGCAGAAUGAAACACACGCAGUACUUGUUGCUCUCUUGAAGUGACGCCGGCAACAGCAAGCCUCUUCCCUUGGAAGUCCUUGUCAGCCUUUAUCAACCACCAAUCGCACAGUGAAACUGUCUUUUGAAAAUAAGAUGUGAAAAGAUUGUCAUUGUCGUGGUGGGAGUUGCUUAGAUCGGAUACAGAAACAGCAGCCAUGGGAAGGUAAUGUAGCUUUUCGAGCUAUUGAAUUCGGAGAAACGAAACCACAAGAACCAAAUAUCCACAUUCCUCAGGCGGGAAGUCUGAAAAGCUAUUGGC